Non-coding RNA from Ictidomys tridecemlineatus (thirteen-lined ground squirrel), 73 nucleotides. The record is from Rfam. Lineage: Eukaryota; Metazoa; Chordata; Mammalia; Rodentia; Sciuridae.
AGGGAUGUAUCUCAGUUGGUAGAGUGCUUGCCUUACAUGCAUAAGGCUCAGGGUUCAAUCCCCAGCACCACAC